CUUGGUCAUUUAGAGGAAGUAAAAGUCGUAACAAGGUCUCCGUAGGUGAACCUGCGGAGGGAUCAUUACAGAGUUCCUGCCCUCACGGGUAGAUCUCCCACCCUUGUGUAUUUUUAUGAUGUUUUGUUGCUUUGGCAGGCCGCUGGGCUUCUAAAACGGCCUGGCCACCGGCUCCCUGGGCUGGUGCGCGCCUGCCAGAGGAUCUCUCAAACUCGGUUUGUUAGUGUCGUCUGAGUACUAUAACAAUCGUUAAAACUUUCAACAACGGAUCUCUUGGUUCUGGCAUCGAUGAAGAACGCAGCGAAAUGCGAUAAGUAAUGUGAAUUGCAGAAUUCAGUGAAUCAUCGAAUCUUUGAACGCACAUUGCGCCCCUUGGUAUUCCGAGGGGCAUGCCUGUUCGAGCGUCAUUUCAACCCCUCAAGCUCUGCUUGGUGUUGGGCAUUCGCCGCUUUCCCGCGGCGGGCCUUAAAAUCAGUGGCGGUGGCCGUCUCAGGCUCUAAGCGUAGUAGCAACCUCUCGCUCUGGAGACCCGGCGGUGACUUGCCAGACAACCUUUUUACUUUUUUUCAAAGGUUUGACCUCGGAUCAGGUAGGGAUACCCGCUGAACUUAAGCAUAUCAAUAAGCGGAGGA
RNAcentral lists this ribosomal RNA (632 nucleotides) under uncultured fungus. RNAcentral describes it as "eukaryotic LSU rRNA". The stretch from base 254 to 407 matches the Rfam family "5.8S ribosomal RNA". Lineage: Eukaryota; Fungi. The record is from RNAcentral.